Oncorhynchus mykiss (rainbow trout) is the source of this 659-nucleotide non-coding RNA. NCBI's taxonomy places the organism in Eukaryota, Metazoa, Chordata, Actinopteri, Salmoniformes, Salmonidae. The record is from RefSeq and is a predicted model, not a curated record.
CCUCUCUCACCUCUCUUCUCUCCUCCACUGAUAAACAACCAACCACAUCCUCCUCUUCUAUUUUCCUGUGGAUGUACCUCCUCUAACAGACACUUAUCUUCCUCACCCAGUCCUUCAGAGGUACCUCCUCUAACACAAACACUCAUUUUCCUCACCCAGUCUGUCCUUCAGAGGUACCUCCUCUAACACAAACACUCAUUUUCCUCACCCAGUCUGUCCAUCAGAGGUACCUCCUCUAACACAAACCCUUCCCUUCCUCACCCAGUCUGUCCAUCAGAGGUACCUCCUCUAACACAAACCCUUCCCUUCCUCACCCAGUCUGUCCAUCAGAGGUACCUCCUCUAACACAAACCCUUCCCUUCCUCACCCAGUCUGUCCAUCAGAGGUACCUCCUCUAACACAAACACUCAUCUUCCUCACCCAGUCUGUCCAUCAGAGGUACCUCCUCUAACACAAACACUCAUCUUCCUCACCCAGUCUGUCCAUCAGAGGUACCUCCUCUAACACUAACACUCAUCUUCCUCACCCAGUCUGUCCAUCAGAGGUACCUCCUCUAACACAAACACUCAUCUUCCUCACCCAGUCUGUCCAUCAGAGGUACCUCCUCUAACACAAACACUCAUCUUCCUCACCCAGUCUGUCCAUCAGAGGUACCUCCU